UACAGAGGGUGCGAGCGUUAAUCGGAAUUACUGGGCGUAAAGCGUGCGUAGACGGUGGCGUAAGUCGGGUGUGAAAGCCCCGGGCUCAACCUGGGAAUUGCAUUCGAGACUGUGCCGCUGGGGUGCGGAAGAGGGAAGCGGAAUUUCCGGUGUAGCGGUGAAAUGCGUAGAUAUCGGAAGGAACAUCAGUGGCGAAAGCGGCUUCCUGGUCCAGCACCGACGUUCAGGCACGAAAGCGUGGGGAGCAAAC
This 250-nucleotide ribosomal RNA is filed under the name uncultured bacterium. RNAcentral describes it as "partial 16S ribosomal RNA". It matches the Rfam family "Bacterial small subunit ribosomal RNA", at positions 524 to 773 of the family's 1533-position model. The record is from RNAcentral.